CGGGCCGGGCGGGGCUCCCGCCGCGGGGCCGGACCGCUCGAGCCGCGGAGCCGGGAGCGGCCCUGCCGAGCCGGGAGGGGAAGGAGUGGAAAGGUCCCCAGAACAGCAGGGACAGGGACGUGUUGGAGCCAGUCCGGAGGCGACCACCAAGUUGAUCAGAGGAAAGGAGGAAAGGAUGAGAGAGCUGGCAUUGCUCAACCUGGAGAAGGCUUGGGGUGACUCAACUGCCACAUUCCAGUGCCUGAGGGGAGCCUAAAGGAAAGAGGGGGCAAGACUAUUUACAGAGCGUGUGGUGACAGGACAAGGAGGAAUGAUUUCAAACUAAGAGUGCCUGCUAUAUGAGCUCUUCUGGUACCUGAGGGCGAAUGAAUCACUCAAUUCAUCUGGAUGAAUCGAGAUGCAGUUUUCACUCUGUUGCUUUUGAAUUUUGUAAUAUUUUGUAAUACUUGUAGCUGUUUGAUAAAUCCAGCUCUCUUGAA
Zonotrichia albicollis (white-throated sparrow) is the source of this 479-nucleotide non-coding RNA. NCBI's taxonomy places the organism in Eukaryota, Metazoa, Chordata, Aves, Passeriformes, Passerellidae. The record is from RefSeq and is a predicted model, not a curated record.